This 297-nucleotide long non-coding RNA is filed under the name Mytilus galloprovincialis (Mediterranean mussel). Lineage: Eukaryota; Metazoa; Mollusca; Bivalvia; Mytilida; Mytilidae. The record is from RNAcentral.
CGGCCUCCAUUGCUUUGUGUACAUUCCAUUCAGCGUCAUCAAUCUUGUGGCAGGCAAUACAGGUCAAGCAAAUCGUAUUUUUAGGAAUUUUAAAAUGACAUGCUCCUUACGUCUUUCGCGAUUUUCCCGCGAAAAAAGCCCAACCAAAAUGAAAGGAAAACUAAUUGAAAAAACGAUGCCCAUGCCAUAAUUUUGUACAGGAAUAUAGAGUAGGUUAAUGAAAAAUAAUUUACAUUUAUUUUUCAUAGAAUUUUCUUUUAUUCAUUAUAAAAAGAUCGAUAUUCUGACCAUCAUGAC